AAACAAUGAAGUCCUAGACACUGAAGGGCCCAGACGAGGUACUUGAGGCUGGAAGGCCGGGAGGCGUGGCGAGUUUUGGCCACCAUGGCUGAGACCAAAGUCCUCAAAGGUUUGUCGCCGAAGCAAGUCUGUCGCCGGUGAGGGCCCUCUGAGGGGUCGCCAGGCGAUGCUCUGAGGCCGCUGCUUCCCGGUGUGCUGAGGGCGUGGCCAACCCACCGUGAAUCAAUUCCAUCAUUCAGGCAAUUGUAGGACAUUACCCAGUGCGGCAACUAUUGACCUUCAACACUACACAUGAUCAAUGGCAAGGGAAUCUACUCUUUCUAUUACUGUUUUUUGUCUAAGUGAGGCCUUAACCAAAUACAUCAAACAGCUGGUAAAAUGAGGAACAUAUUCUAUAAGAAAAACUGCUAACAGAAGAUUGAAGUGUUUUUAUUUUUUCUCGUUUUUAUAUAAAUUUAACAAUAUUAACGUUUCAAAAAAUGUGAAAUGCAAAUUUUAGCAAAAAUAAAAAUGCUGACAUUAACUUUCAUGACCUUAUCACUGCAUUACUCUCAGAGGCAGUUGUAGAACCCUAACUAGUGAACGGAUACGCUUGCCUUCCAUCUGUGUACGGACGUGUCUGCUGCGGACCGCCUAAAGCUGCCUUCCUCAUGUCCCAAAGGCCUUAUACACGCCAUGCAAACAAUGUGUUUACCACUGGCACAAAGUUCUCUUGUUUAUGUACAACUGACAUUUGUAUGAAAACAGUGUUGUAUCAACACCUGAGUUGGAUACACCAGAUAACCUGGAGUGCACCCUGUAAUACCAUGACACAACACUUUUCCAAACCUGUUGUGCUGAAAGCCUUGAAAAUAUCUCUACUGCCACCAGCUACAUCAGUGCUGAAGCAGAUUAUCUGAGAAGCAAGCAAUUUUGCUGAAGCUACAGUGAAAGUGCUGACUUCCUGAUAUUUGUGCGCAAAUCAGUGAACUGAGACCAGACCUUUGAAGGGGGUAGAAUGAACAUGUUUUUUAAAGAACAAAUAACAAUGCAGGACAACAUAAUUAUGAUUGGAUUUCACUGCACUAUUUUUCUCACCCACAAGACAGGAAAAAGAACUUUUAAAAUUAGCUGAAUAAUGCAUUUGUGAUGAACUAGUAAGGGAUAUAAACAAAUACUCUAUUCGAACAAAUAAUUUCAAGGUCAUGAGAGAGAGAGAGAGAGAGAGAGAGAGAGAGAGAGAGAGAGAGAGAGAGAGAGAGAGAGAGAGAGAGAGAGAGAGAGUGUGUGUGUGUGUGUGUGUG
Molecule: long non-coding RNA, 1283 nt
Organism: Eriocheir sinensis (Chinese mitten crab)
Lineage: Eukaryota; Metazoa; Arthropoda; Malacostraca; Decapoda; Varunidae
Exons: 2
Source: RefSeq, a predicted model, not a curated record